CUGAGUACCGGGUCUCUCAGGCCCUUACUCCCACCCUUUGUGUACCUUACCAAAUUUCAGUUGCCUUGGUGGGUCUCUACCCCCCCUCGGAUUAGUUUCUAAUCCUUGGGCAGAGCCCACCAUUGGAACUUCUUUAAACUCUUAUGAAUUGAGUUGUCUGAGAACAAAAAACAAAUAAAUUA
RNAcentral lists this unclassified non-coding RNA (182 nucleotides) under uncultured Pleosporales. RNAcentral's name for it is "sequence contains ITS1". Lineage: Eukaryota; Fungi; Ascomycota; Dothideomycetes; Pleosporales. The record is from RNAcentral.